GACGAACGCUGGCGGCGUGCUUAACACAUGCAAGUCGAACGAUGAAGCUGGAGCUUGCUCCAGUGGAUUAGUGGCGAACGGGUGAGUAACACGCGAGCAAUCUGCCCUUGACUCUGGGAUAACUGCGGGAAACUGUAGCUAAUACCGGAUACGACACCUUGGGGCAUCCCAGGGUGUGGAAAGAAUUUCGGUCAAGGAUGAGCUCGCGGCCUAUCAGCUAGUUGGUGAGGUAAUGGCUCACCAAGGCGACGACGGGUAGCCGGCCUGAGAGGGUGACCGGCCACACUGGAACUGAGACACGGUCCAGACUCCUACGGGAGGCAGCAGUGGGGAAUAUUGCACAAUGGGCGAAAGCCUGAUGCAGCAACGCCGCGUGAGGGAUGAAGGCCUUCGGGUUGUAAACCUCUUUUAGCAGGGAAGAAGCGAAAGUGACGGUACCUGCAGAAAAAGCACCGGCUAACUACGUGCCAGCCGCCGCAGUAA
This 483-nucleotide ribosomal RNA is filed under the name uncultured bacterium. RNAcentral describes it as "partial 16S ribosomal RNA". It matches the Rfam family "Bacterial small subunit ribosomal RNA", at positions 28 to 523 of the family's 1533-position model. The record is from RNAcentral.